Molecule: ribosomal RNA, 331 nt
Filed under: uncultured bacterium
Lineage: Bacteria
Description: bacterial SSU rRNA
Rfam family: Bacterial small subunit ribosomal RNA
Source: RNAcentral
GCGCGUAGGUGGUAGUGUAAGUCUGGGGUGGAAUCCCAGGGCUCAACCCUGGAACUGCCUUGGAAACUGCAUUACUUGAGUCAGUGAGGGGAGGGUAGAAUUCCUGGUGUAGCGGUGAAAUGCGUAGAUAUCAGGAGGAAGGCCUGUGGCGAAGGCGGCCCUCUGGCGCUGGACUGACACUGAGGCGCGAAAGCGUGGGGAGCAAACAGGAUUAGAUACCCUGGUAGUCCACGCCCUAAACGGUGGGCACUAGGUGUAGGGCUCGUAAGGGUUCUGUGCCGAAGGGAAACCAUUAAGUGCCCCGCCUGGGGAGUACGGCCGCAAGGUUGAA